GACGAACGCUGGCGGCGUGCUUAACACAUGCAAGUCGUACGGUAAGGCCCUUCGGGGUACACGAGUGGCGAACGGGUGAGUAACACGUGGGUGAUCUGCCCUGCACUUCGGGAUAAGCCUGGGAAACUGGGUCUAAUACCGGAUAGGACCACUGCCUGCAUGGGUGGUGGUGGAAAGCUUUUGCGGUGUGGGAUGGGCCCGCGGCCUAUCAGCUUGUUGGUGGGGUGAUGGCCUACCAAGGCGACGACGGGUAGCCGGCCUGAGAGGGUGACCGGCCACACUGGGCGUGAGAUACGGCCCAGACUCCUACGGGGGGCGGCAGUGGGGAAUAUUGCACGAUGGGCGCAAGCCUGAUGCAGCGACGCCGCGUGAGGGAUGACGGCCUUCGGGUUGUAAACCUCUUUUAGCACCGACGAAGCGCAAGUGACGGUAGGUGCAGAAGAAGGACCGGCCAACUACGUGCCUGCCGCCGCGGUAA
This 478-nucleotide ribosomal RNA is filed under the name uncultured bacterium. RNAcentral's name for it is "partial 16S ribosomal RNA". It matches the Rfam family "Bacterial small subunit ribosomal RNA", at positions 28 to 523 of the family's 1533-position model. The record is from RNAcentral.